This 512-nucleotide ribosomal RNA is filed under the name Gallibacterium salpingitidis. RNAcentral's name for it is "bacterial LSU rRNA". It matches the Rfam family "Bacterial large subunit ribosomal RNA", at positions 700 to 1210 of the family's 2925-position model. The record is from RNAcentral. Lineage: Bacteria; Pseudomonadati; Pseudomonadota; Gammaproteobacteria; Pasteurellales; Pasteurellaceae.
UUGCAAGGUAUAGACCCGAAACCCGGUGAUCUAGCCAUGGUCAGGUUGAAGGUUGGGUAACACUAACUGGAGGACCGAACCGACUACUGUUGAAAAAGUAGCGGAUGAAUUGUGGCUGGGGGUGAAAGGCCAAUCAAACCGGGAGAUAGCUGGUUCUCCCCGAAAUCUAUUUAGGUAGAGCCUUAUAUGAAUACCUUUGGGGGUAGAGCACUGUUUCGGCUAGGGGUCCAUCCCGGAUUACCAACCCGAUGCAAACUGCGAAUACCAAAGAGUAAUAUAUAGGAGACACACGGCGGGUGCUAACGUUCGUCGUGGAGAGGGAAACAACCCAGACCGCCAGCUAAGGUCCCAAAGUCUAUAUUAAGUGGGAAACGAGGUGGAAAGGCAUAGACAGCUAGGAUGUUGGCUUAGAAGCAGCCAUCAUUUAAAGAAAGCGUAAUAGCUCACUAGUCGAGUCGGUCUGCGCGGAAGAUGUAACGGGGCUAAAAUAUAGCACCGAAGCUGCGGCAUCA